This 504-nucleotide ribosomal RNA is filed under the name uncultured bacterium. Its description in RNAcentral is "bacterial SSU rRNA". It matches the Rfam family "Bacterial small subunit ribosomal RNA", at positions 28 to 523 of the family's 1533-position model. The record is from RNAcentral.
GAUGAACGCUAGCGAUAGGCCUAACACAUGCAAGUCGAGGGGCAUCACAUGAAGUAGCAAUACGGAUGGUGGCGACCGGCGCACGGGUGAGUAACACGUAUGCAACCUGCCUUCAACAAGGGGAUAACCCGUUGAAAGACGGACUAAUACCCUAUAACACAGGGGUCCCGCAUGGGAAUAUUUGUUAAAGGACAACCGGUUGAAGAUGGGCAUGCGUUCCAUUAGCUAGUUGGCGGGUAACGGCCCACCAAGGCAACGAUGGAUAGGGGAACUGAGAGGUUUAUCCCCCACACUGGUACUGAGACACGGACCAGACUCCUACGGGAGGCAGCAGUGAGGAAUAUUGGUCAAUGGACGCAAGUCUGAACCAGCCACGUCGCGUGAAGGAAGACGGCCCUACGGGUUGUAAACUUCUUUUAACGGGAAUAAAGUGCCCCACGCGUGGGGUUUUGCAUGUACCGUAUGAAUAAGGAUCGGCUAACUCCGUGCCAGCAGCCGCGGUAA